UCAAUUUAUUUAAAACUUUGCCGGCAAGUAGACGCGACGGCGCGCUACAAUUACUCUAAGAAACGGACGAUAACAACGGCUACGGUUGAAAGAUUUCUAGCAAACAUUAAAUCCCCGUAACGACUGAUUGCUGUUUAAGCUCUAAACAGCAUGAUACCGACUAAGUCGGUAACACGUCAGCUCCUCCUCGCUGGCGAGCGAGAGGAUGAAGGUAUAGUCUGUGCCAUUAGUAAUAAUGGA
Molecule: non-coding RNA, 240 nt
Filed under: Candidatus Magasanikbacteria bacterium GW2011_GWC2_34_16
Lineage: Bacteria; Candidatus Magasanikiibacteriota
Source: RNAcentral